AAAAAUACGAUGUGUGAUACAGUGUAUGGAACGUCUAUAAUCUAGUAUGAGAAAUUAACGAUUUAAGUCCUUCUUAAAUGAGGCCAUUUACCCAUAGAGGGUGCCAGGCCCGUAUAACGUUAAUGAUUACUAGAAGAUGUUUCCAAAGAGUCGUGUUGCUUGAUAGUGCAGCACUAAGUGGGUGGUAAACUCCAUCUAAAACUAAAUAUAACCAUGAGACCGAUAGUAAACAAGUACCGUGAGGGAAAGUUGAAAAGAACUCUGAAUAGAGAGUUAAAUAGUACGUGAAACUGCUUAGAGGUUAAGCCCGAUGAACCUGAAUAUCCAUUAUGGAAAAUUCAUCAUUAUGUAUAUGAUAUGUAAUAAUAUUAUAGAAAUAGUGUGCAUUUUUUCCAUAUAAGGACAUUGUAAUCUAUUAACAUAAUAUAUAUUUAUCAAAAGGUCAUUUGCUUAUGUUUAUUCAAAUUAAUUUGCUUGCAAGUUAACACAGAAUAAAUGCUUAUGAUUUGAUAAAGUGUUGAUAGAUUAAUAAUAAUAUAGUGCUUAAAUACUUUUGUAUUUUACAAUGGCAUAAUUAUCUUAUGAUUUUUGUGUUAAUUGUAUGCGCUUAUAUGAUUAACAAUGCGAUAGAUUCAGGAUACCUUCGGGACCCGUCUUGAAACACGGACCAAGGAGUCUAACAUAUGUGCAAGUCAUUGGGAUUAUUUAUAUAAACCCAAAGGCGUAAUUAACUUAACUGUUUUUAAAUGGGAUUAGUUUUUAGUCAAUUUAUUGUCUAUUAAUUCAAUCCCGGGGCGUUCUAUACAGUUAUGUAUAAUAAUAUUUAUAUUAUUUAUACCUCUAACUAGAGCGUACCUUGAGCAUAUAUGCUGUGACCAAAAGGAUGGUAA
RNAcentral lists this ribosomal RNA (890 nucleotides) under Lauxania cylindricornis. RNAcentral's name for it is "eukaryotic LSU rRNA". It matches the Rfam family "Eukaryotic large subunit ribosomal RNA", at positions 127 to 829 of the family's 3401-position model. Lineage: Eukaryota; Metazoa; Arthropoda; Insecta; Diptera; Lauxaniidae. The record is from RNAcentral.